Molecule: small RNA, 74 nt
Filed under: Serratia marcescens
Lineage: Bacteria; Pseudomonadati; Pseudomonadota; Gammaproteobacteria; Enterobacterales; Yersiniaceae
Description: RtT sRNA
Rfam family: RtT RNA
About the family: This family represents a bacterial cis-regulatory element known as RtT RNA. The exact function of RtT is unknown although it is thought that it may be involved in changing the cellular response in relation to amino acid starvation.
Source: RNAcentral
CGUAAAGGUUCGAGUCUCGCAAAGCGAGACAACAUCACUCCGGUGAUGGCCCGAAGGGCGAGGCCAAAGGCCGA